Molecule: ribosomal RNA, 519 nt
Filed under: Xantho sexdentatus
Lineage: Eukaryota; Metazoa; Arthropoda; Malacostraca; Decapoda; Xanthidae
Description: partial 16S ribosomal RNA
Rfam family: Archaeal large subunit ribosomal RNA
Source: RNAcentral
GUCCAUUUGGAGAUAUAAAUGGUCUGGCCUGCUCACUGAUAAGAGAAUUUAAGAGCCGCGGUAUAUUGACCGUGCAAAGGUAGCAUAAUCAUUAGGGGUUUAAUUGGAACCUAGAAUGAAGGGUUGGACAAAGGAAAGACUGUCUUUAUGUUGAAAGUUGAAUUUUACUUUUAAGUGAAAAGGCUUAAAUAUAUCAAAGGGACGAUAAGACCCUAUAAAGCUUUAUAGAUAACUUAAAUUUGGUUGAUUUAAAAAUAAAAACCGAGUUUAAUUAUUCUAUUUUGUUGGGGUGAUAUGAGUAUAAUUAUUAUUAACUGCUUAAGAAAAAUACUAAUAUAAGAGAAUUAUAUAGUGCAUGAUCCUUUUUAAAGAUUAAAAGGCUAAGUUACUUUAGGGAUAACAGCGUUAUUUCUUUUGAGAGUUCAUAUCGAAAAAGAAGAUUGCGACCUCGAUGUUGAAUUAAAAUAUCUAUAUAAUGCAGCCGUUAUAAAAGAGGGUCUGUUCGACCUUUAAAUUUUU